RNAcentral lists this ribosomal RNA (469 nucleotides) under Dacus humeralis. RNAcentral's name for it is "partial 16S ribosomal RNA". Lineage: Eukaryota; Metazoa; Arthropoda; Insecta; Diptera; Tephritidae. The record is from RNAcentral.
GUCUUUUUGAGUUAUUUUUAAAGUCUGACCUGCCCACUGAAUUUUUUUAAAUGGCCGCAGUAUUCUAACUGUGCAAAGGUAGCAUAAUCAUUAGUCUUUUAAUUGAAGGCUGGUAUGAACGGUUGGACGAGGUAUAAGCUGUUUCAUGUAAAUUUAUAGUAGAAUUUUAUAUUUUAGUCAAAAAGCUAAAAUGUAAUUAAAAGACGAGAAGACCCUAUAAAUCUUUAUAUUUUAUGUAAUUUAAAUUUUUUUGAUUUUUUUUAUUUUUAUUAUAUCAAAUAUUUUGUUGGGGUGAUAUUAAAAUUUGAUGAACUUUUAAUUGUUUUAAGUCAUUAAUUUAUGAAUUAUUGAUCCAUUAGUAGUGAUUAUAAGAUUAAGUUACUUUAGGGAUAACAGCGUAAUUUUUUUGGAGAGUUCUUAUCGAUAAAAAAGUUUGCGACCUCGAUGUUGGAUUAAGAUAUAGAUUUAG